This 570-nucleotide ribosomal RNA is filed under the name uncultured bacterium. Its description in RNAcentral is "partial 16S ribosomal RNA". It matches the Rfam family "Bacterial small subunit ribosomal RNA", at positions 355 to 918 of the family's 1533-position model. The record is from RNAcentral.
UGGGGAAUUUUGGACAAUGGGCGAAAGCCUGAUCCAGCAAUGCCGCGUGUGUGAAGAAGGCCUUCGGGUUGUAAAGCACUUUUGUCCGGAAAGAAAUCCUCUGGGUUAAUACCUCGGGGGGAUGACGGUACCGGAAGAAUAAGCACCGGCUAACUACGUGCCAGCAGCCGCGGUAAUACGUAGGGUGCAAGCGUUAAUCGGAAUUACUGGGCGUAAAGCGUGCGCAGGCGGUUUUGUAAGACGGAUGUGAAAUCCCCGGGCUUAACCUGGGAACUGCAUUCGUGACUGCAGGGCUAGAGUAUGGCAGAGGGGGGUAGAAUUCCACGUGUAGCAGUGAAAUGCGUAGAGAUGUGGAGGAAUACCGAUGGCGAAGGCAGCCCCCUGGGCCAAUACUGACGCUCAUGCACGAAAGCGUGGGGAGCAAACAGGAUUAGAUACCCUGGUAGUCCACGCCCUAAACGAUGUCAACUAGUUGUUGGGGAUUCAUUUCCUUAGUAACGUAGCUAACGCGUGAAGUUGACCGCCUGGGGAGUACGGUCGCAAGAUUAAAACUCAAAUGAAUUGACGGGG